Octodon degus (degu) is the source of this 137-nucleotide small nuclear RNA. Its record names the gene U4. It matches the Rfam family "U4 spliceosomal RNA". Rfam says of the family: U4 small nuclear RNA (U4 snRNA) is a component of the major U2-dependent spliceosome. The structure of U4 snRNA from yeast and human has been reported. U4 snRNA presents a k-turn RNA motif in the 5p-SL related to recognition of Snu13 protein. NCBI's taxonomy places the organism in Eukaryota, Metazoa, Chordata, Mammalia, Rodentia, Octodontidae. The record is from Ensembl.
AGCUUUGCGCAAUGGCAGCGUCGUCGCCGAUGAGGUUUAUCUGAGGCGCGAUUAUUGCGAAUCGAGAAUUAUAUGGGGUUUCAUGCCACGCACCAUGAUAGAUAAUUUAGGAGAAAUUUUUGAUGCUCAUAUUAAGA